GUAGGUGGCAAGCGUUGUCCGGAAUUAUUGGGCGUAAAGCGCGCGCAGGCGGUUCUUUAAGUCUGAUGUGAAAGCCCACGGCUCAACCGUGGAGGGUCAUUGGAAACUGGAGAACUUGAGUACAGAAGAGGAAAGCGGAAUUCAACGUGUAGCGGUGAAAUGCGUAGAGAUGUGGAGGAACACCAGUGGCGAAGGCGGCUUUCUGGUCUGUAACUGACGCUGAGGCGCGAAAGCGUGGGGAGCAAACAGGAUUAGAUACCCUGGUAGUCCACGCCGUAAACGAUGAGUGCUAAGUGUUAGGGGGUUUCCGCCCCCCUUAGUGCUGCAGCUAACGCAUUAAGCACUCCGCCCUGGGAGUACGGCCGCAAGGCUG
RNAcentral lists this ribosomal RNA (373 nucleotides) under uncultured organism. Its description in RNAcentral is "partial 16S ribosomal RNA". It matches the Rfam family "Bacterial small subunit ribosomal RNA", at positions 527 to 896 of the family's 1533-position model. The record is from RNAcentral.